GCAAACGGAAAGACUACAUCUCCCAGGCCGCCACGCUUUCCAGCUGGAGUCCUAGGGCGCUGACUGCUCCCCAGUUUCCGUAGGGAAGCGCUGGGCUACCGCGGCUAUUGUGCGUCGCGCUCUCGCCCUCCUCUUCCCGCUGCAGUGUCUAUGGAGCGAGGCUACGUUUCAUUGCCGCCCUGGCUUAACCCUUCCGGCGCCUAAAAGGACGGCCGGCCGGCCGGCUCCCUUGCACCAGGAAGAAGUCUUAGCAGCCAGCGGGCCCUGGUCAGGAAACUCUAAGAACCAUGGGUCAUCCCCCGCUGGAGUUCAGCGACUGCUACCUGGACAGCCCCGAUUUCCGCGAGAGGCUCAAGUGUUAUGAGCAGGAACUGGAG
RNAcentral lists this long non-coding RNA (377 nucleotides) under Homo sapiens (human). RNAcentral's name for it is "non-protein coding lnc-OPHN1-2:1". Lineage: Eukaryota; Metazoa; Chordata; Mammalia; Primates; Hominidae. The record is from RNAcentral.